CACUUUGUACUUUAAACCCAAUCGAGUUAGUUUUGUACCGAUGCAUUGAGCUUGUUGAAGAUCAGCUCAAGCAACAGUCUAUGUAACAGUCGUCAUCACCUGCAUAUUUGUGUUUCUAGUCAUUUACACCAUUUACGGUGAUACGAAUGCGAAGUAAUACGAGAAUUUGUCUUGCUACCGGUUGUAUAAACAUAAUUAGAGAGAUAGGCACAAGGAGAUGUACAACUGGGGAUUGCUAAGAUCCCUCAAGUUUCACAACCAAGCAUCUUUAUUCCGAUUUUGAAAUUACGAUUGCUACUUGAAAGAACAUGCGAUCUAUCUGAGUAUGUAAUUUUAAUGAUCUGUUGUAUGAAUUUUUUUAAGGGUAAUAAAUAUUUCACCAUUAAUCAAAUAGAAUGAGAGACAUCAUCGAUGACGAAAAGGAUUUCACGAUUGCAAAUGCAACAAAAAGACAAUUCAAAACCUAACCACUUCGAACCAAACGUAAACAUGCUCUCGACAAGAUCUUACAUCACUUUCUUAUGAACUUGCAAAACAUAAUGCUCUUUUGGCAAAGAAGCCUUAUGAGACAUCAUGAAGAUAUCCUCAUGGUCCUUUGCCCGGCGAACAAAAAUAAAACCACAACCAAAACAAAACAAAAAUAUGACAACACAAAAUAAACUAUGAUCCCUCAACGAUGGGAGACCCACACCUAAGUUCCGAACCAACAGGAAAGAUAAGCUCACAAGGCCUAAACUCUAUGAGCCAGACCCGACAUCGUCAAGACACACAAGGUAAUUAGCAUACCGUCAUUGAAGACCAUACAACGACAAGCAAACAUGACUGUGAAUCCCUCAAACAAUUGCAAUGCUCCACAAGGGAAAGACCACACCACUCAUUAAUGAUGUUGCAAUCGUUGGCAAAAAACCUACUAUGAGUCACCUACAACAAACGUCGAGUUUCCUUAGCGUAAUCCUUGACAAGCUCACUAACCACAAAAUUACCACCUCAAAUUUAAACAACAAUCGUCGCUUUAAAAUUCAGGUUGAGCAGUAAGUCAUAACCGUUGCAAAAGCUUUCCUCAAAUGGAGAGUGACCACAUGUCCAUAAUAAC
This 1093-nucleotide long non-coding RNA is filed under the name Malus domestica (apple). Its description in RNAcentral is "long non-coding RNA (MDOM_LNC014553)". Lineage: Eukaryota; Viridiplantae; Streptophyta; Magnoliopsida; Rosales; Rosaceae. The record is from RNAcentral.